This is a non-coding RNA of Microcebus murinus (gray mouse lemur), 1167 nucleotides long. NCBI's taxonomy places the organism in Eukaryota, Metazoa, Chordata, Mammalia, Primates, Cheirogaleidae. The record is from RefSeq and is a predicted model, not a curated record.
CUAGGCUGAUGCCAUGGCGCUCUGGCCCAGGCAACAGAGUGAGACUCUGUCUAAAAAAAAGAAACCAUAAAGACCACGAAUAUUUUCAGAUCCUACACUAUGGCUUGGAAAAUAUGUAAACCCAGGGAGGAUGAAUUUCCUUACCCUCACAUAAAUUCGUAGGUGGACGACAACAUCCUCUCCCAAGAUAAAGUUGAGAAAUCCAACUACUUGAUUGAUGAGUAGGAAGCCUGCUCGCACUGGACUCAUUCAUUCACUUACAAAUGAGCCAGGCCGGGUGCUGAGCCUUGGAGACCCAGAGGUAAACAAAACAGACCAAUUGCCUCCCUGGCAAAGUUUCAAUGAGUUUGCAUUUUAAUGGAGAAGAAAAACAAUGGACGAGUAAACAAAUACCUAAGAAAGAUAAUUCCAGAUGCUGCUGAGGGCCUGAAGAUAAGAGGGGUAAUGGGUAGGGGUGGGUUUCUGAGGAGAUGACGGGAGGAAGUUAGUUCAUUUCCAGACUCGAUGAGUACUUCUGCUUGCUUCCUCGCUUCUGGUUGGCUUUGGACGAGGAAAGGCGGCUGGCAUGUUCCAUGACCCACUGAGGCAGCCUCGGCCAACCGUUUGCUGCUCAAGACUCUGGAGGCCAAUAUUUCACAACCGCCCCAGGCCUCUCCCCGGGCCCGGAGAAGCCUGACUCUUCUCGCAGUUUUCCCAGCGAUCUCGCUGUCCCCGCUCUGCCCCUGCGCUUUACGCACAGCCUCCGAGGGACGGCGCGCGGCCAGCUCUCAGGAUGUGGAGAGCUGCAAAUAGCGCCGACAGCUGCAGCCGGAGGUGGUGGCCGCCCGGGAAGCGAGCCAGCUGCUGCCACCGCAGGAGCCGAGCCCAGCCGCGGCCGUCCUCGCGCCCUGCGAGCAGCCGGCGGAGCCCUCGACGGGCCAGGCCGGCGCGCUCGUGGGAGCGAUGGCGCUUGCUUCCCCAUCCGCGCGCACGCGGGCACGGAGGGCGGCGGGCCUGCCUCGGAGAACAAGAAUUAGAGCUAGGAAAAUACAAAGAACUCAAAAGGAAUGCAGCAAAACCUCAAAAAUCCCAUAGUUAAAGGGUUAGAUCUGUGCCUUUAUUUUUGCCACGCGUGUGCACGUAUUACAUGCCAUCAAGUGAGGCAACGCCAGCCGACCACAGCAGAAA